AGGGCUGUAGUUAAAAAUAACAUUUGAGUUGCAUUCAAAAAGUAUUGAAUUAUCAAUCUUCCUUA
Molecule: transfer RNA, 65 nt
Filed under: Creobroter sp.
Lineage: Eukaryota; Metazoa; Arthropoda; Insecta; Mantodea; Hymenopodidae
Description: tRNA-Ala
Source: RNAcentral